This 76-nucleotide transfer RNA is filed under the name Paenibacillus sp. J22TS3. RNAcentral describes it as "tRNA-Val". It matches the Rfam family "tRNA". From Rfam's summary of the family: Transfer RNA (tRNA) molecules are approximately 80 nucleotides in length. Their secondary structure includes four short double-helical elements and three loops (D, anti-codon, and T loops). The record is from RNAcentral. Lineage: Bacteria; Bacillati; Bacillota; Bacilli; Caryophanales; Paenibacillaceae.
GGAGGCUUAGUUCAGCUGGGAGAGCAUCUGCCUUACAAGCAGAGGGUCGGGGGUUCGAUCCCCUCAGCCUCCACCA